UCAAUCUCCCCUUCCCCCUCCCUCGAGGCAACUGUGGUUCUUGUCAUCAAUACCCCAACCUUGCAGCUACCGAUCCCAAGGGACCACCGUUGUGGCCACCACCAGGGAGAUGAGAUUGGAGUUGAAGGGGAGAGAUAUUAGGGAUUUGGAGGAGGGGCGUGAAACCUAGGAGGAUUUGGGGAGCUCAUCGAUGACAUCGGCAUGGGGGA
This 209-nucleotide long non-coding RNA is filed under the name Elaeis guineensis (African oil palm). RNAcentral's name for it is "long non-coding RNA (EGUI_LNC003984)". The record is from RNAcentral. Lineage: Eukaryota; Viridiplantae; Streptophyta; Magnoliopsida; Arecales; Arecaceae.